GACGAACGCUGGCGGCGUGCUUAACACAUGCAAGUCGAACGGAAAGGCCCUGCUUUUGUGGGGUGCUCGAGUGGCGAACGGGUGAGUAACACGUGAGUAACCUGCCCUUGACUUUGGGAUAACUUCAGGAAACUGGGGCUAAUACCGGAUAGGAGCUCCUGCUGCAUGGUGGGGUUGGAAAGUUUCGGCGGUUGGGGAUGGACUCGCGGCUUAUCGGCUUGUUGGUGGGGUAGUGGCUUACCAAGGCUUUGACGGGUAGCCGGCCUGAGAGGGUGACCGGCCACAUUGGGACUGAGAUACGGCCCAGACUCCUACGGGAGGCAGCAGUGGGGAAUAUUGCACAAUGGGCGGAAGCCUGAUGCAGCAACGCCGCGUGCGGGAUGACGGCCUUCGGGUUGUAAACCGCUUUCGCCUGUGACGAAGCGUGAGUGACGGUAAUGGGUAAAGAAGCACCGGCUAACUACGUG
RNAcentral lists this ribosomal RNA (467 nucleotides) under uncultured bacterium. Its description in RNAcentral is "partial 16S ribosomal RNA". It matches the Rfam family "Bacterial small subunit ribosomal RNA", at positions 28 to 507 of the family's 1533-position model. The record is from RNAcentral.